GAUGUCACGUGACCCGAGGGUGCGAGACAACCCCAGACCUGCAGGUUCAACAACUAGGAAGGCCAUCAACGUCUCGCUGGUCAGCAGAGAAAAUACGCGUCUACGUGACCAGAUAAGACCAGUGGACAAAGGAUGACCGUUCACCUGUCUUAAACCGCGUGACCCACAGGUAAUUGUGGUCAUUCCAACACUCAUUCCUCAUCUUGAUUGUAUACAGAAUGGUCGACGGUUAUUUUGGAGGGGUUUCCACGGCCAUCCUAGUGACCAUCUUUGUGUUAGGCUGUAUGUUUUGGGCGAUGCUAAGACGAUGCGGCCAGUGGAGGGAUGGUAAAUGGACCCGAAGAGACUGGAGAAACCGCCCCCCUCCCCCUGCCCCACGUUACCCAGCGGGAUCACCCCCCACAAGUCACGUAUACCAACAGGAUGUGCAAAGUGACGCAUUUCCGGUUGUAACCGGAAGUGGGCAAAAUUUCAACUCUGGAGACAUUUCAUCGACUCGAAAUCCCGCUGCGUACUUCGAUCACGCAUGCUCUGGAAAUGUGUUUAUUAUUUCAGCUGAAAACAUGUUUCCUUCCCCUCCUGCAUAUUCAAGGUCGACACAGCCUGAUCCUCCCCCGCCGUAUGCGCCGUGAACGGCAUGGACGGGUGUAAUGGGUUCCUGUUUACGUGACAUAUCAUUGACUGUAUUGUCCAAUCGGCAACUUACUAACCAGAUAAGGGAUGCAAGAGAAUGGUCAUGAUCGACUGGUGUCUGAUGUUAUGCGGAUGUUUCCACAGCUGUGUUGCAGUCCGCAAAUGUAACAUAUUGUUUGCAGAGUGUUGUGCUUCAUAAAAUAACUGACAUGUCAAUAUCUGCAGAUGAAAUGUGACCCCCGAGGAACUUAGAAGCAUAACUGGUCAUCAUGACCCAUGCAUGUCGUAAGUGCCGAUCUCUGAAGUUCAACGUGACCACAACACGAUUGUAUGUUUUCAUUCCGAAACGGCGUGGUUCUAUAAGUUUGCUCAGGUUAUCAACCACUGGCUUGCCUGGUCCAGAUUCGAUAAUUUACAUCUGACCUGAUACAACUGGAAUAUUGACUCCCACCUGCGAAUUAUACGACUACAGUUACAAUGACCUCAGACCCGUGAAGAUCCUGGUUUAGAAUAGGUCUUCAGCAACCAAUACUUGCUUUAAGAGGCAACUAUGUUUCUCGUAAGAAGCGACUAACGGGAUCGGGUGGUCAGGCUCGCAGACAUGGUUGAUGCAUGUCAUCGUAUCCAAACUCCCUAGAUCGAUGGUCAUAAUGUCCUUCACUGGGUUGUCUAUUCCAGACAUGAUUAUAUACAGACCGUCGUCAUGUAGCUGGAAUAUUGCUGAGUGCGGUGUUUAACACCAAACAAACAACAAUAUCCUCCGUGGAGUAUUCGACAAAUACUCAUAAGCUGCGUAGAGGUAGCAAAUUGAAUGUUAAUAUUUGUUUUGUGAGUAAUUUACAGCCCUGUCACCCCAACCAUUUAUACCUGUCUGACUCUUAUCGGUUACCGACAGACGUAAGUCCCUUGAUAUACUGGAGUGUCCAGAUACAGGGCUUCAGGUACGGUAUGUGCACCGUAUGAGCUUGUUGGUUGUAUCUCGCUUCCUUGAAGAUGAUAUUCCUAAAUAAUUAGGGUCAAAUUGCUGUUAGAUGAAGCUGCUCGAACUGACUUUGUUUAUCCAUUAUUGGGAUUGAAGUUUCAACCAACCAGGCGAGUGAGUGAGUGAGUGAGUGAGUGAGUGAGUUAGUAGAUUUCUUUUGCGUCGCUGUCACCUACGUCACAAGCGUCGGUAACAGACAGCGUGCAACGUUUAUGUAUCCGUGUUACACAAACAAUUUGAACAAAAGCAUUAUAUUGUACUGAGCUGACACUCACCACUUAUCAUCAAGGGGAAGGUCAUUGUGUUAACAUCACUGUAUAACAAUGCAAACAUUCUUUUAAAAAGUAGAAAUGAAUGAUCAAGCUUCACCACCUAACGAGAAAUCAUAAUAUAACCUCUAUAUCACCUCUGGUACAUGUUUAGAUGAACAUUGCAAUGCGUAUAAUAUGGUCUAUAUGUAUGUCUAUUCUCAUUAGCCUCGAAGGUCCCACUUCAUCAUGUACAGUGGAACCUUCUUAGUCCGGACCCGUGUUAAUCUGGAAAACCCUUAUUCUGGACGCUUUUGGUUGGAACGAAUGUAUAAACUGCCAGGCCUCGAAGGUCCCACUUCAUCAUAUACAGUGGAACCUUCUUAGUCCGGACCCGUGUUAAUCUGGAAAACCCUUAUUCUGGACGCUUUUGGUGGGAACGAAUGUAUAAACUGCCAGGCCUCGAAGGUCCCACUUCAUCAUAUACAGUGGAACCUUGUUAGUUCUGACCCGUGUUAAUCUGGAAAAUCCUUAUUCUGGACGCUUUUGAUGGGAACGAAUGUAUAAACUGCCAGGCAAAAGAAAGUAUUCAUUUGAACGCAGUCGCCGCAACACUGUAAGGUCCAAAACACAGCUAAGAUACCCGUAUCUAAUGCAUCCCCAUCGAAUUACUUCUUUUUUGUUUAUUUUUUGUCCAACUUCAAACGUGGAUGUAAACUUUCUCUUGUCCGGAAGUUUAUAUAUUGAGGAAUAUUUCGUUUAUCCGGACAUGUGUUACCCUGUCAAUUUCCCUGGCAGCAGGAAGGUCUGGUUUAACGGGUCGCAGAGAUUCUUUGGACUGUCCUAUCUAUGCUGUCUGCAUGGCAUCAUCGGGCAUUGCUGUGAUAAACGCCAUUGGAAUAUUAUGUACAGCCCUGUCUGUUGAACUGAAACUGUUAACUUUGGCCGUGUGCCUUUAAGGCUUCCAACGUACAUCUCAUUACUUGGACAUUGAUCUUUUCAUCCCAUUUUGUCGCAUGAUACAUUGUGUCCUCAUAUCCAUCAUGUACAUAGCCAUCAUGUACAUAGCCGUCAUGUACAUAGCCGUCAUGUUGAAAUGUAUUCUUUCAUCAGUUAUACACACACCUCUUAAUAAUGACCUUUUGAAACCCAUUUUUCAUUUUCUACGAAUAAACUAUUUUUGAUGA
Haliotis rufescens (red abalone) is the source of this 3050-nucleotide long non-coding RNA. RefSeq lists it as uncharacterized. The record is from RefSeq and is a predicted model, not a curated record. The transcript has 2 exons. Lineage: Eukaryota; Metazoa; Mollusca; Gastropoda; Lepetellida; Haliotidae.